RNAcentral lists this unclassified non-coding RNA (306 nucleotides) under plant metagenome. RNAcentral's name for it is "partial contains 5.8S ribosomal RNA, internal transcribed spacer 2, and large subunit ribosomal RNA". The stretch from base 1 to 105 matches the Rfam family "5.8S ribosomal RNA", at positions 50 to 154 of the family's 154-position model. The record is from RNAcentral.
GAAAUGCGAUAAGUAGUGUGAAUUGCAGAAUUCAGUGAAUCAUCGAAUCUUUGAACGCACAUUGCGCCCCUCGGCAUUCCGUGGGGCAUGCCUGUUCGAGCGUCAUCUACACCCUCAAGCUCUGCUUGGUGUUGGGCGUCUGUCCCGCCUCCGCGCGCGGACUCGCCCCAAAUGCAUUGGCAGCGGUUCCUUGCCCCCUCUCGCGCAGCACAUUGCGCUUCUCGAGGGCGGCUCCGGGACGCGAUCCAGCAAGAUGACCACCGUCUUUGACCUCGGAUCAGGUAGGGAUACCCGCUGAACUUAAGC